RNAcentral lists this ribosomal RNA (379 nucleotides) under uncultured eukaryote. Its description in RNAcentral is "partial 18S ribosomal RNA". It matches the Rfam family "Eukaryotic small subunit ribosomal RNA", at positions 592 to 976 of the family's 1831-position model. The record is from RNAcentral.
CAAUAGCGUAUAUUAAAGUUGUUGCAGUUAAAAAGCUCGUAGUUGAACUUCAGGCUUGGCGGGGUGGUCUGCCUCACGGUAUGUACUACCCGGCCGAGCCUUACCUCCUGGUGAGCCUGCAUGCCGUUUAUUCGGUGUGUAGGGGAACCAGGAAUUUUACUUUGAAAUAAUUAGAGUGUUCAAAGCAGGCAUAUGCCCGAAUACAUUAGCAUGGAAUAAUAGAAUAGGACGUGCGGUUCUAUUUUGUUGGUUUUGAGAGCUGGGGCAGCGAUUGAUAGGGACGGAUGGGGGCAUCCGAACUUUACUGUCAGAGGUGAAAUUCUUAGAUCGGUCAAAGGCGAACUACUGCGAACGCAUUCGCCAAGAAUGUUUUCUUUAA